GGAUGUGAGGGCAAUCUCUCUGUGACAUGUCACCCCACUGACCACCAGGGUUGAUUCGGCUGAUCUGGCUGGCUAGGCGGGUGUCCCCUUCCAACCUCACUGCUCCAUAUGCGUCCCUCCCAAAGCUGUACACUCUGUCGAAGAUGUUAGAUUUCCCCAGAGUUCGAGUUCGACUGGGUAUAUAC
RNAcentral lists this small nuclear RNA (185 nucleotides) under Erinaceus europaeus (western European hedgehog). Its description in RNAcentral is "7SK RNA". It matches the Rfam family "7SK RNA", at positions 1 to 197 of the family's 331-position model. Rfam says of the family: 7SK was discovered as an abundant small nuclear RNA in the mid-70s but a possible function has only recently been suggested. Two independent studies have found that 7SK RNA binds the CDK9/cyclin T complex (known as elongation factor P-TEFb). P-TEFb activates transcription by phosphorylating the C-terminal domain of RNA polymerase II. Lineage: Eukaryota; Metazoa; Chordata; Mammalia; Eulipotyphla; Erinaceidae. The record is from Rfam by way of RNAcentral.